RNAcentral lists this small nuclear RNA (102 nucleotides) under Microcebus murinus (gray mouse lemur). Lineage: Eukaryota; Metazoa; Chordata; Mammalia; Primates; Cheirogaleidae. The record is from RNAcentral.
AUGCUUAAGCAGCAGUUAUAUUCAAAUUGGAACCACACAGAGAAGAUUAGAUGGCCCCAGCACAUGUACGACACAAAAAUUUGUGAAUCAUUUUAUAUUUUU